UGGGGAAUAUUGGACAAUGGGCGCAAGCCUGAUCCAGCCAUGCCGCGUGAGUGAUGAAGGCCCUAGGGUUGUAAAGCUCUUUCACCGGUGAAGAUAAUGACGGUAACCGGAGAAGAAGCCCCGGCUAACUUCGUGCCAGCAGCCGCGGUAAUACGAAGGGGGCUAGCGUUGUUCGGAUUUACUGGGCGUAAAGCGCACGUAGGCGGACUUUUAAGUCAGGGGUGAAAUCCCGGGGCUCAACCCCGGAACUGCCUUUGAUACUGGAAGUCUUGAGUAUGGUAGAGGUGAGUGGAAUUCCGAGUGUAGAGGUGCAAUUCGUAGAUAUUCGGAGGAACACCAGUGGCGAAGGCGGCUCACUGGACCAUUACUGACGCUGAGGUGCGAAAGCGUGGGGAGCAAACAGG
RNAcentral lists this ribosomal RNA (404 nucleotides) under Actinomycetes bacterium. RNAcentral describes it as "Actinobacteria bacterium partial 16S ribosomal RNA". It matches the Rfam family "Bacterial small subunit ribosomal RNA", at positions 355 to 776 of the family's 1533-position model. Lineage: Bacteria; Bacillati; Actinomycetota; Actinomycetes. The record is from RNAcentral.